Molecule: ribosomal RNA, 429 nt
Filed under: Gemmatimonadota bacterium
Lineage: Bacteria; Pseudomonadati; Gemmatimonadota
Description: Gemmatimonadetes bacterium partial 16S ribosomal RNA
Rfam family: Bacterial small subunit ribosomal RNA
Source: RNAcentral
UAGGGAAUCUUCGGCAAUGGACGAAAGUCUGACCGAGCAACGCCGCGUGAGUGAAGAAGGUUUUCGGAUCGUAAAACUCUGUUGUUAGAGAAGAACAAGGACGUUAGUAACUGAACGUCCCCUGACGGUAUCUAACAAGAAAGCCACGGCUAACUACGUGCCAGCAGCCGCGGUAAUACGUAGGUGGCAAGCGUUGUCCGGAUUUAUUGGGCGUAAAGCGAGCGGAGGCGGUUUCUUAAGUCUGAUGUGAAAGCCCCCGGCUCAACCGGGGAGGGUCAUUGGAAAGUGGGAGACUUGAGUGCAGAAGAGGAGGGUGGAAUUCCAUGUGUAGCGGUGAAAUGCGUAGAUAUAUGGAGGAACACCAGUGGAGAAGGCGGCUCUCUGGUCUGUAACUGACGCUGAGGCUCGAAAGCGUGGGGAGCAAACAGG